Molecule: transfer RNA, 72 nt
Filed under: Bos taurus (domestic cattle)
Lineage: Eukaryota; Metazoa; Chordata; Mammalia; Artiodactyla; Bovidae
Also listed under: 1 other name
Rfam family: tRNA
About the family: Transfer RNA (tRNA) molecules are approximately 80 nucleotides in length. Their secondary structure includes four short double-helical elements and three loops (D, anti-codon, and T loops). Further hydrogen bonds mediate the characteristic L-shaped molecular structure. tRNAs have two regions of fundamental functional importance: the anti-codon, which is responsible for specific mRNA codon recognition, and the 3' end, to which the tRNAs corresponding amino acid is attached (by aminoacyl-tRNA synthetases). tRNAs cope with the degeneracy of the genetic code in two manners: having more than one tRNA (with a specific anti-codon) for a particular amino acid; and 'wobble' base-pairing, i.e. permitting non-standard base-pairing at the 3rd anti-codon position.
Source: Rfam by way of RNAcentral
CCCCAGGUGGCUCAGAUGGUAGAGCGUCUGCCUGCAAUGCAGGAGGCCCAGGUUCGAUCCCUGGGUCGGGAA